AUGGUUUCUCACCAUCGUUCCAGAUCAUUGCGCCGCCAAGCAAGUCUUCUCCAUCCCUCCUUCUGGCGUCCACUGCGAGAAGGGACAACAGGCCUCUGGAACCCCGCCUCUCGUGAUCCUGUACGGGAGAGGGGCGAUCAGGUUUUUGGGGAGCGCACUCGCGCGACUGCUGACAGCGACGACUUCGCGAACGACGACUUCUUCCCCGACCUCGGCAACCUCAUCCUCGAAGACAUGGGCGACAACGUCAAUGCCGGCGGUGCUGCACCCGCUGCACCGCAAUUUACUCCGAGUGGUUUUACUGCGCAUCUGAAGCCACCUGCCUUUAAGGGGGCGCAAUAUAAGAGGUGGUGCACGAGAGCAGUCUACUGGUUUCAGACCAUGGGCUGCUAUGAUGUCACCAAGGGCAAGCCUGAGGGCGAUCUUAAUCCAGCACAACUGGAAGCUUUUGAGAAGAUCAAUACGCCCUCUUUAAAGGCGCUCUUCUAA
This 489-nucleotide ribosomal RNA is filed under the name Triticum aestivum (bread wheat). RNAcentral's name for it is "partial small subunit ribosomal RNA". Lineage: Eukaryota; Viridiplantae; Streptophyta; Magnoliopsida; Poales; Poaceae. The record is from RNAcentral.